RNAcentral lists this ribosomal RNA (552 nucleotides) under uncultured bacterium. RNAcentral's name for it is "bacterial SSU rRNA". It matches the Rfam family "Bacterial small subunit ribosomal RNA", at positions 355 to 896 of the family's 1533-position model. The record is from RNAcentral.
UAGGGAAUUUUGCGCAAUGGGCGAAAGCCUGACGCAGCAACGCCGCGUGGGUGAUGAAGGCCUUCGGGUCGUAAAACCCUGUCGAUGAGAGACGAAACGCACUGCCCCGAAUAAGGGCGGUGCCUGACGGUAUCUCGUGAGGAAGCCCCGGCCAACUCCGUGCCAGCAGCCGCGGUAAUACGGGAGGGGCGAGCGUUAUUCGGAAUUACUGGGCGUAAAGGGCGUGUAGGCGGUCCUAUUUGUCGAUUGUGAAAUCCCUCGGCUUAACCGGGGAACUGCUCUCGAAACGGUAGGACUUGAGUCCGGGAGAGGAAAGCGGAAUUCCCAGUGUAGCGGUGAAAUGCGUAGAUAUUGGGAGGAACACCGGUGGCGAAGGCGGCUUUCUGGACCGGUACUGACGCUGAUACGCGAAAGCUAAGGGAGCAAACAGGAUUAGAUACCCUGGUAGUCCUAGCUGUAAACGAUGGGCACUUGGUGUAGCGGGUAUCGACCCCUGCUGUGCCGAAGCUAACGCAUUAAGUGCCCCGCCUGGGGAGUACGGUCGCAAGGCUG